GGGCCCUUAGCUCAGAUGGGAGAGCGCUAGCCUUGCAAGCUUGAGGUCACCGGUUCGAUCCCGGUAGGGUCCACCA
RNAcentral lists this transfer RNA (76 nucleotides) under Bacteroidales bacterium. RNAcentral describes it as "tRNA-Ala". It matches the Rfam family "tRNA". Rfam says of the family: Transfer RNA (tRNA) molecules are approximately 80 nucleotides in length. Their secondary structure includes four short double-helical elements and three loops (D, anti-codon, and T loops). The record is from RNAcentral. Lineage: Bacteria; Pseudomonadati; Bacteroidota; Bacteroidia; Bacteroidales.